Molecule: long non-coding RNA, 316 nt
Filed under: Physcomitrium patens
Lineage: Eukaryota; Viridiplantae; Streptophyta; Bryopsida; Funariales; Funariaceae
Description: long non-coding RNA (PPAT_LNC000570)
Source: RNAcentral
UCGCCGAAGUCCUUUUUGUCCCAGUCGGUAGGUCUCUAGAUGUUACAGAGAACCCCGAACAGCCCAAACUGCUAAUCUUUGAUACCGCUUUAUACUCACGAUCUUGUAUCCACUGACUGUCUCGUUAGAUUAACCCAAUAAAUUUCAUUCACUCCGCAUACUCAAUCCUAUAGACACCCUUUUAAUUCUUUAUCACAGACGUAACUCGAUUUCACAAAAUAGUCAAGAGUAAUCAAACCCACUUCAUUAAAAAUCCCGAUUCACCAUUACAACACUGACUUCAGCAACGAUUGCCUCAGUCUUCCCAAAUCCUAUG